GUGACGCUGGUACCCCAGGGCUUGGACCUGACGCAGGGAGAUAGAGCGGGAGAUACAGAGGAAAAUGAAAGAACAAGAAUGGCCUUGUCAGCUCCUUGGUUCCUACCAGAGAGACACGGCAUCCUUCCCCUACUGCCUUGGGCACAAGGCUCUGGAGUGAAGAGGAAGGAGGCAGGAGGGAGUCAGGGGCACUCACCUCUUACAGCCUGGAAGAUCAUUAGCAAUAGCAGGUGGCAGUUGUGGCGCUGGCACCAAGUCCUCCGGACCCAACUGAGACAGGACUCAUGGCAUCAAGAACUUACAUCACGGCAGUCAUUGUCUCCAUCUUCUUCAUGGUUAUCCUGUCCUGCUCAAGUGCUCCAGUGACCCCCACAGAUUCCCAAGUGAUCGUGUGCCAGCCCUGGCUCCUAUGUGGGACUGUGGCCUACAACCCCCAGGAGAAUCAAUGCUGUGAGGAUGGCAGUGUCCAGCCCUUCCGCCUGAGCUGUGGUCCUACAUUCACCUAUGACCCCUGCUUUCAGCAUUGCUGCCCCGACUCUUACCGGGGAAAGUACAUUGUGGUUAAUAAGACAAGGGGAGGGACCGAGAGAAGCGAUUGUGAAAUGGCACGCUCCCAUUAGGAGCUGACAUCUGGUGAAAGUUGGCCAGAAGACCCCUGUCUCCAGAGGCAGUUUCCAGAUCUCAAAAGACCCAAAGCCUGGGGUUUCUUCAGCGG
This 715-nucleotide long non-coding RNA is filed under the name Phascolarctos cinereus (koala). RNAcentral's name for it is "lncRNA (ENSPCIG00000033359.1)". The record is from RNAcentral. Lineage: Eukaryota; Metazoa; Chordata; Mammalia; Diprotodontia; Phascolarctidae.